GACCUUUGGCCAAACGCUGCCUGCUUCACACACGCAGGCCAAGGUUUUGUUGCAAUCUGCUGGGAAAGGAGAGACUGGCAACAUUAUGACAUCACGCUGACUGUGCCUGCUGGGAGAGGAGAGACUGGCAACAUUAUGACAUCACGCUGACUGUGCCUGCUGGGAGAGGAGAGACUGGCAACAUUAUGACAUCACGCUGACUGUGCCUGCUGGGAGAGGAGAGACUGGCAACAUUAUGACAUCACGCUGACUGUGCCUGCUGGGAGAGGAGAGACUGGCAACAUUAUGACAUCACGCUGACUGUGCCUGCUGGGAGAGGAGAGACUGGCAACAUUAUGACAUCACGCUGACUGUGCCUGCUGGGAGAGGAGAGACUGGCAACAUUAUGACAUCACGCUGACUGUGCCUGCUGGGAGAGGAGAGACUGGCAACAUUAUGACAUCCAACUGAUGGCUGGUGCAGCUCAGCUGAAAGCCAAAGGGGCCCUCCCACAACUGCUGCUGAGAGACUGGCCCCCAGUCCUCACAAGAUGCCAACUGCUUUCAUGAGAAAGCCCCUGCCCUCAACUCAGAUGAACUUAAACUCAGUUGGGAUGUCAUAUUUUAUCUAACUUUGUGACAGGUGCAACCAUGUACAUCUGAACAGUCAACUUGAAUUGAGCAACGACCUUGAGAGAGAAUGACAUUUACCCCCAAAAAUAAAAUUGGGUUAACCGAA
Long non-coding RNA from Hemicordylus capensis (graceful crag lizard), 717 nucleotides. RefSeq lists it as uncharacterized. The transcript has 2 exons. The record is from RefSeq and is a predicted model, not a curated record. Lineage: Eukaryota; Metazoa; Chordata; Lepidosauria; Squamata; Cordylidae.